This 315-nucleotide ribosomal RNA is filed under the name Synothele arrakis. RNAcentral describes it as "partial 12S ribosomal RNA". The record is from RNAcentral. Lineage: Eukaryota; Metazoa; Arthropoda; Arachnida; Araneae; Barychelidae.
AGGUAAUAUAAAUUAUAAAAACCUAUGUAAGAUGGCGGCCUUAUUUCUUAUUAGAGGAACUCGUAUCCUAAUCGAUGGUCCGCGAUAAUUUUCUCUUAUUUUUAAAGUUUUUAUACCGCCGUCUUUCAGAAUCGAAUUAAAAAUUAAUUUUUUUUUAGUUUAAACUUUCACGUCAGGUCAAGGUGAAACCUAUAAAUAAGAAGAGACGAGUUACAAAUAAUUUUUAAUUAAUAAUUCUUCAUAAAAUUGUAGAAUAAACAGGAUUUAAUAGUAAUUUUUUAGUAAUUUUAAUUUAUGAACAUUACAUUAAGGUGU